GAUGAACGCUGGCGGCGUGCCUAAUACAUGCAAGUCGAGCGAACGGACGAGAAGCUUGCUUCUCUGAUGUUAGCGGCGGACGGGUGAGUAACACGUGGAUAACCUACCUAUAAGACUGGGAUAACUUCGGGAAACCGGAGCUAAUACCGGAUAAUAUUUUGAACCGCAUGGUUCAAAAGUGAAAGACGGUCUUGCUGUCACUUAUAGAUGGAUCCGCGCUGCAUUAGCUAGUUGGUAAGGUAACGGCUUACCAAGGCAACGAUGCAUAGCCGACCUGAGAGGGUGAUCGGCCACACUGGAACUGAGACACGGUCCAGACUCCUACGGGAGGCAGCAGUAGGGAAUCUUCCGCAAUGGGCGAAAGCCUGACGGAGCAACGCCGCGUGAGUGAUGAAGGUCUUCGGAUCGUAAAACUCUGUUAUUAGGGAAGAACAUAUGUGUAAGUAACUGUGCACAUCUUGACGGUACCUAAUCAGAAAGCCACGGCUAACUACGUGCCAGCAGCCGCGGUAAUACGUAGGUGGCAAGCGUUAUCCGGAAUUAUUGGGCGUAAAGCGCGCGUAGGCGGUUUUUUAAGUCUGAUGUGAAAGCCCACGGCUCAACCGUGGAGGGUCAUUGGAAACUGGAAAACUUGAGUGCAGAAGAGGAAAGUGGAAUUCCAUGUGUAGCGGUGAAAUGCGCAGAGAUAUGGAGGAACACCAGUGGCGAAGGCGACUUUCUGGUCUGUAACUGACGCUGAUGCGCGAAAGCGUGGGGAUCAAACAGGAUUAGAUACCCUGGUAGUCCACGCCGUAAACGAUGAGUGCUAAGUGUUAGGGGGUUUCCGCCCCUUAGUGCUGCAGCUAACGCAUUAAGCACUCCGCCUGGGGAGUACGACCGCAAGGUUGAAACUCAAAGGAAUUGACGGGGACCCGCACAAGCGGUGGAGCAUGUGGUUUAAUUCGAAGCAACGCGAAGAACCUUACCAAAUCUUGACAUCCUUUGACAACUCUAGAGAUAGAGCCUUCCCCUUCGGGGGACAAAGUGACAGGUGGUGCAUGGUUGUCGUCAGCUCGUGUCGUGAGAUGUUGGGUUAAGUCCCGCAACGAGCGCAACCCUUAAGCUUAGUUGCCAUCAUUAAGUUGGGCACUCUAAGUUGACUGCCGGUGACAAACCGGAGGAAGGUGGGGAUGACGUCAAAUCAUCAUGCCCCUUAUGAUUUGGGCUACACACGUGCUACAAUGGACAAUACAAAGGGCAGCGAAACCGCGAGGUCAAGCAAAUCCCAUAAAGUUGUUCUCAGUUCGGAUUGUAGUCUGCAACUCGACUACAUGAAGCUGGAAUCACUAGUAAUCGUAGAUCAGCAUGCUACGGUGAAUACGUUCCCGGGUCU
RNAcentral lists this ribosomal RNA (1372 nucleotides) under uncultured bacterium. RNAcentral describes it as "bacterial SSU rRNA". It matches the Rfam family "Bacterial small subunit ribosomal RNA", at positions 28 to 1381 of the family's 1533-position model. The record is from RNAcentral.